RNAcentral lists this ribosomal RNA (94 nucleotides) under Phaeobacter italicus. Lineage: Bacteria; Pseudomonadati; Pseudomonadota; Alphaproteobacteria; Rhodobacterales; Roseobacteraceae. The record is from RNAcentral.
GAAACACCCGGUCCCAUCCCGAACCCGGAAGUUAAGCACUGUUGCGCCGAUGGUACUGCGUCUUAAGGCGUGGGAGAGUAGGUCACCGCCAAAC